This 497-nucleotide ribosomal RNA is filed under the name uncultured bacterium. Its description in RNAcentral is "partial 16S ribosomal RNA". It matches the Rfam family "Bacterial small subunit ribosomal RNA", at positions 28 to 507 of the family's 1533-position model. The record is from RNAcentral.
GAUGAACGCUGGCGGCGUGCCUAAUUCAUGCAAGUCGAGCGAACAGAUGAUGAGCUUGCUCCUCUGACGUUAGCGGCGGACGGGUGAGUAACACGUGGAUCACCUCCCUAUAAGACUGGGAUAACUUCGGGACACCGGAGCUAAUACCGUAUAAUAUAUUGAACCGCAUGGUUCAAUAGUGAAAGACGGUUUUGCUGUCACUUCUAGAUGGAUCCGCGCCGCAUUAGCUAGUUGGUAAGGUAACGGCUUACCAAGGCAACGAUGCGUAGCCGACCUGAGAGGGUGAUCGGCCACACUGGAACUGAGACACGGUCCAGACUCCUACGGGAGGCAGCAGUAGGGAAUCUUCCGCAAUGGGCGAAAGCCUGACGGAGCAACGCCGCGUGAGUGAUGAAGGUCUUCGGAUCGUAAAACUCUGUUAUUAGGGAAGAACAAAUGUGUAAGUAACUAUGCACGUCUUGACGGUACCUAAUCAGAAAGCCACGGCUAACUACGUG